AGUGAACGCUGGCGGUAGGCCUAACACAUGCAAGUCGAACGGCAGCACAGUAAGAGCUUGCUCUUACGGGUGGCGAGUGGCGGACGGGUGAGGAAUACAUCGGAAUCUACUUUUUCGUGGGGGAUAACGUAGGGAAACUUACGCUAAUACCGCAUACGACCUACGGGUGAAAGCAGGGGAUCUUCGGACCUUGCGCGAUUGAAUGAGCCGAUGUCGGAUUAGCUAGUUGGCGGGGUAGAGGCCCACCAAGGCGACGAUCCGUAGCUGGUCUGAGAGGAUGAUCAGCCACACUGGAACUGAGACACGGUCCAGACUCCUACGGGAGGCAGCAGUGGGGAAUAUUGGACAAUGGGCGCAAGCCUGAUCCAGCCAUACCGCGUGGGUGAAGAAGGCCUUCGGGUUGUAAAGCCCUUUUGUUGGGAAAGAAAAGCAGCAGGUUAAUACCCCGCUGUUCUGACGGUACCCAAAGAAUAGGCACCGGCUAACUUCGUG
RNAcentral lists this ribosomal RNA (492 nucleotides) under uncultured bacterium. RNAcentral's name for it is "partial 16S ribosomal RNA". It matches the Rfam family "Bacterial small subunit ribosomal RNA", at positions 29 to 507 of the family's 1533-position model. The record is from RNAcentral.